RNAcentral lists this small RNA (554 nucleotides) under Diaporthe sp. M91. RNAcentral describes it as "eukaryotic LSU rRNA". The stretch from base 190 to 343 matches the Rfam family "5.8S ribosomal RNA". The record is from RNAcentral. Lineage: Eukaryota; Fungi; Ascomycota; Sordariomycetes; Diaporthales; Diaporthaceae.
CGGAGGGAUCUUGCUGAGACGCGCCCCAGGCGCACCCAGAAACCCUCUGUGAACUUAUACCUUUACUGUUGCCUCGGCGCAUGCCGGCCCCCCCGGGGGCCCCUCGGAGACGAGGAGCAGGCACGCCGGCGGCCAAGUUAACUCUUGUUUUUACACUGAAACUCUGAGAAAAAAACACAAAUGAAUCAAAACUUUCAACAACGGAUCUCUUGGUUCUGGCAUCGAUGAAGAACGCAGCGAAAUGCGAUAAGUAAUGUGAAUUGCAGAAUUCAGUGAAUCAUCGAAUCUUUGAACGCACAUUGCGCCCUCUGGUAUUCCGGAGGGCAUGCCUGUUCGAGCGUCAUUUCAACCCUCAAGCAUUGCUUGGUGUUGGGGCACUGCUUUUUUAACGAAAAGCAGGCCCUGAAAUCUAGUGGCGAGCUCGCCAGGACCCCGAGCGCAGUAGUUAAACCCUCGCUCUGGAAGGCCCUGGCGGUGCCCUGCCGUUAAACCCCCAACUUCUGAAAAUUUGACCUCGGAUCAGGUAGGAAUACCCGCUGACUUUAAGCAUAUAU